AUAUGUUGAAAUAUAUUGKUUWAGWCGAGAAGRCCCUGUGGAACUUCAAGUAUUAACCAAUAUAUUUCAACAUAUACCUCGAAAGAAAAUAAAGACACAGUAUUACCUGGCUAUUACUUUUGGUUGGGGUGACCUCGGAGUAAAACAAAACCUCCGAAAAGAGUAUUCUCAUACCUAGAAUUACACCUCAAAGUGCCCUAAAGCAAAGAGAUCCAAUAUAUUUGAUCAACGAACAAAGCUACCCCAGGGAUAACAGCGCAAUCCCCUCUUAAAGUCCUUAUUGAUGAUGGGGGUUUACGACCUCGAUGUUGGAUCAGGACAUCCUAAUGGUGCAGCCGCUAUWAAGG
This 347-nucleotide ribosomal RNA is filed under the name Pelomedusa subrufa. RNAcentral's name for it is "partial 16S ribosomal RNA". It matches the Rfam family "Bacterial large subunit ribosomal RNA", at positions 2076 to 2570 of the family's 2925-position model. Lineage: Eukaryota; Metazoa; Chordata; Testudines; Pelomedusidae. The record is from RNAcentral.